GAUACUGGUGAUGAGCCGCGGAAGAAAAUCAAAUCACCAUUCACCUCGUCCUAGAAUUAACUCCAGCGAUACAAGAUGAAAAGCUCCCAAAAAUUAGUGUGCUGAUUGGACCAGAAAGCUGUCGCGAAAUAGUCACCAAAUACCCUCUGACGCGCCUCACGCGUCGCGCUUUGGAUGAGACCAACAACAACAAACAACAAAGAACACGAAAAUUUCACAACACUUGAUCGAACAAUCUUGUGGGAGAAUUCUGAUUGAUGACUGUAUUUUAUUAUCUACCAACCAUUUGAGCUCGUUUGUGAUUUUUCUUUUUCUUUUCUUUUUCUUUAAUUUGACCCAAGAAUAACAUAGCAAGUCGAGUGGGACUGGGUUGCAUGAGAUAUGGAAGCUGUGACGCGGGGAUUGGAGGAGAAAGCUCAAUAAACAUGUCAACAAGUAGGAAAUCGCUUGCGGGCAUACACAUAUAUUAAUCUAACAGAGCAAGGAACAUCCUUUUUGAGCGUAAGGAACAUGGAGAAAAAAAGAGAAAUAGGAAAGUUGGAUAAGGGCCCAUGAUACUAUCUCGUAAUCGUACAUAUCUUCUAGCGACCAAUAGGGAAAGAGGGAAAUGGGCACAGAAAAGCCGGAUUGGUUGUCGCUAUCCAUAAUUUGUUGGAAAGGGGAAGUUAUUAGAAGGAGGUCGAGGAAUGACAUAUGAGAGUAGAUGUGGGGUGUUGGUGUACAAACUAUCGGUGAGAAUAUGUGGGACGCAAUGUCAAAUGAGGGAACAUAACAUAGGAAAAAUGUAUUUCGUGUACACUCGAGAGACAAAAAAAAGGUAGAUUGGGAGAGAAAUUAUUUCAACUGAAGGGUCAUGACUGGUCUGGCGAUUGCUGUUAGGGAAUCGAUGGCCAACGAUGGUUAGAUGGAAGAGUAGAUCGAUGCGUCGUCGUAUCGUUGAACAUACGAAAGUUCAAUAUCCUUUCGCGGAAUC
This 973-nucleotide small RNA is filed under the name Histoplasma capsulatum. RNAcentral's name for it is "hypothetical RNA". RNAcentral also lists the same sequence under 1 other name. Lineage: Eukaryota; Fungi; Ascomycota; Eurotiomycetes; Onygenales; Ajellomycetaceae. The record is from RNAcentral.